Molecule: non-coding RNA, 153 nt
Filed under: unclassified sequences
Description: RT-16 RNA
Rfam family: RT-16 RNA
About the family: candidate division DUSEL4 (Archaea). Nearby to self-splicing intron genes
Source: Rfam by way of RNAcentral
UCUUGGCAUUUACCCCAAAUAUUGGGGCAUCGUCUGGACUACACGCCUCUUUGCUAGUCUUGCUUGCGCAAGCAUGAAAUUCAGCCGCGACAUUAAGUAGGCCGUGCCGAAAUAUGAAGUGGUGGUGCAUCCUUGGUAAAGGGGCUACAUUUG